CCUACGGGCGGCAGCAGUGGGGGAUAUUGCACAAUGGGGGGAACCCUGAUGCAGCGACGCCGCGUGGGUGAAGAAGCGCCUCGGCGCGUAAAGCCCUGUCAGCAGGGAAGAAAAUGACGGUACCUGACGAAGAAGCCCCGGCUAACUACGUGCCAGCAGCCGCGGUAAUACGUAGGGGGCAAGCGUUAUCCGGAUUUACUGGGUGGAAAGGGGGCGCAGACGGCGAGGCAAGCCAGGAGUGAAAGCCCGGGGCCCAACCCCGGGACUGCUCUUGGAACUGGGUGGCGGGAGUGCAGGAGGGGCAGGCGGAAUUCCUGGUGUAGCGGUGAAAUGCGUAGAUAUCAGGGGGAACACCGGUGGCGAAGGCGGCCUGCUGGACUGCAACUGACGUUGAGGCCCGAAAGCGUGGGGAGCAAACAGGAUUAGAUACCCGAGUAGUC
RNAcentral lists this ribosomal RNA (440 nucleotides) under uncultured bacterium. RNAcentral's name for it is "partial 16S ribosomal RNA". It matches the Rfam family "Bacterial small subunit ribosomal RNA", at positions 338 to 795 of the family's 1533-position model. The record is from RNAcentral.